This 403-nucleotide ribosomal RNA is filed under the name uncultured bacterium. Its description in RNAcentral is "partial 16S ribosomal RNA". It matches the Rfam family "Bacterial small subunit ribosomal RNA", at positions 30 to 526 of the family's 1533-position model. The record is from RNAcentral.
AUUGAACGCUGGCGGCAGGCCUAACACAUGCAAGUCGAGCGAGCGGCGGACGGGUGAGUAAUGUAUGGGGACUGCCCGAUAGAGGGGGAUAACUACUGGAAACGGUGGCUAAUACCGCAUACUAUCGGAUAACCCAUAUGGGAUUAGCUAGUAGGUGGGGUAAAGGCUCAACUAGGCGACGAUCUCUAGCUGGUCGGAGAGGCUGAUCAGCCACACGGUGACAUAAACACGGCCCAGACUCCUACGGAGUCAGCAGUGGGGAAGAUUGCACAAGGGGCGCAAGCCUGCGGCGGCCAUGCCGCGUGUAUGAAGAAGGCCUUAGGUGUGUAGAGUACUUUCAGCGGGGAGGCGUUGCCCGCAGAAGAAGCACCGGCUAACUCCGUGCCAGCAGCCGCGGUAAUAC